GAACGCACAUUGCGCCCCUUGGUAUUCCGAGGGGCAUGCCUGUUCGAGCGUCAUUAUAACCCCUCAAGCUCAGCUUGGUGUUGGGGCCUGCCGCACGGGCAGCCCUUAAAAUCAGUGGCGGUGCCAUCUGGCUCUAAGCGUAGUAAUUCUUCUCGCUAUAGAGUCACGGUGGAUGCUUGCCAUUAACCCCCAAUUUUCAAUGGUUGACCUCGGAUCAGGUAGGGAUACCCGCUGAACUUA
Molecule: unclassified non-coding RNA, 240 nt
Filed under: uncultured Helotiales
Lineage: Eukaryota; Fungi; Ascomycota; Leotiomycetes; Helotiales
Description: sequence contains 5.8S rRNA gene
Rfam family: 5.8S ribosomal RNA (bases 1-53)
Source: RNAcentral